AUAAUACUCCCUCCGUCCGAAAAUACUUGUCAUCAAAAUGAAUAAAAGGGGAUGUAUCUAGAUGUAUUUUAGUUCUGGAUACACCCCUUUUUGUCCAUUUUGAUGACAAGUUUUUUCGGACGAAGAGAUAUGAU
Triticum urartu is the source of this 134-nucleotide non-coding RNA. The record is from Rfam. Lineage: Eukaryota; Viridiplantae; Streptophyta; Magnoliopsida; Poales; Poaceae.